CAACAAGCAAAGCCUACUUUCACAAUCACUCUUGGACCGAUGAAUCAUGGAUACGGUCUACUCCAACACAAUAACAAUGCUUUAUGGGAGUGAUGUUGGAAUCAGCAGUACAGAACCUGCGCAAAUACGAAACGGUGUAUUUCUCAACGUGGCAUGCACAACAGAAACUGAGCCAAAUCUGGACAUUCUUUUCGAAGAGUAUCCAUCUGAAUCCCGUACUCUAGGAGCACAUUACAUGGAGAUUCAUUGGAAUUAACCCAGAAAGAGGGACCAGGGCCAGCCAUGGUAUGGUAGUGUCCAAGAGGACAGGGAGAGUUUUUCAGAACAAGUGUGUCACGGUCAACCCCCAUGUGUCCACUCUUCUGAAGAAAAGCCAUGGCUAUUCCAAGUUUUGUCCUUGUUUAUAUACAUCUUUUUGUUCUCCUGUCUACUUAAUUUGCUACACUUCACUUCAAAAAUGGUGGGUAUUUAUGCUAUAGAACACUGAAGAAAAACUUUUGUUUAUGUAAACCAGAAGGGAAUAUGUUCACUUGUCCCAGAACAUGACUGUUCUUGUAUAUGUUCAGCAUCUUAGUAGACACUUGAUCAGAUCGUAUGUGAAAGGAGUCUUUCUCUUUAUGUUUGAAAAUAUCAGUUUAAGUUGAUUUAAAACUAGUUGCUUUUAACAAAUGAAUUAAGUUAAGACUGUUGCUCUAGUUUGAAGAGAUGAUGUGUCUUGCCACUCUGUUGUGAAAUUUAUUUUAUUAUAAUGAUUUGUGUGAUUUUUUUCGUACUUUUCAAAUUUGACUGGCUAGAUUUAAUACUGCUUAGAUUGGUAAAAUAAAAAAAAGAAAAAGAGAAAAGAAAACAAAUCUAUUUCAUAUUUCUUAAUUUUUGUGAAAAUAUUUGUAUAUUUUAUAUAAUAUAAUCUUUUAAAAUAUGGUUUGGACUGAAGUUAUUUUUCAAUCCCACUGACAAAAGGUACAUUUUGUUUUAAAAAGGCAGCUUCUCAGAGUGGCAAGAUGUGUCGUUCCUCCCAAGUUUAUUAAAAAAGCUGUAGUUAUGCAUAUGUUGUGUAUACUUGACAUUUACUGUAAUAGAAAAACUGUUUGUAUUAAGAAAUUCAUUACAGUUCUCAGUUGGUGCUGCCUUUUUAUGAAUAAAUCUUGGAUUACAUAAUUCAUUUUUAUAUUUUCGGUCUCUUCUUUUCCAGUAGUUCACUGAAUCAUUCAAUAUAUGUCGUAUAGAACUAAAGUUAUGAAUAUCAAGUUUACAGUGAAGACAGUGCUUAAUUCAUAGUAAUUGGCUGUCAUCAAUGCUGCCUUUAAUAUGGUCUAUUGACAAAAAUGACUACAUGUUACUGCAUUUGGAUUAUGAUGAAAUUCCAUUGU
Hemibagrus wyckioides is the source of this 1370-nucleotide long non-coding RNA. RefSeq lists it as uncharacterized. Lineage: Eukaryota; Metazoa; Chordata; Actinopteri; Siluriformes; Bagridae. The transcript has 3 exons. The record is from RefSeq and is a predicted model, not a curated record.